CCUGGCUCAGAUUGGACGCUGGCGGCAGGCUUAACACAUGCAAGUCGAGCGGAGCGAGGGUGCUUGCACCUUAGCUUAGCGGCGGACGGGUGAGUAAUGCUUAGGAAUCUGCCUAUUAGUGGGGGACAACAUUCCGAAAGGGAUGCUAAUACCGCAUACGCCCUACGGGGGAAAGCAGGGGAUCUUCGGACCUUGCGCUAAUAGAUGAGCCUAAGUCGGAUUAGCUAGUUGGUGGGGUAAAGGCCUACCAAGGCGACGAUCUGUAGCGGGUCUGAGAGGAUGAUCCGCCACACUGGGACUGAGACACGGCCCAGACUCCUACGGGAGGCAGCAGAAGGG
This 339-nucleotide ribosomal RNA is filed under the name uncultured Acinetobacter sp. RNAcentral describes it as "bacterial SSU rRNA". It matches the Rfam family "Bacterial small subunit ribosomal RNA", at positions 18 to 359 of the family's 1533-position model. The record is from RNAcentral. Lineage: Bacteria; Pseudomonadati; Pseudomonadota; Gammaproteobacteria; Moraxellales; Moraxellaceae.